This 443-nucleotide ribosomal RNA is filed under the name uncultured bacterium. Its description in RNAcentral is "partial 16S ribosomal RNA". It matches the Rfam family "Bacterial small subunit ribosomal RNA", at positions 338 to 795 of the family's 1533-position model. The record is from RNAcentral.
CCUACGGGAUGCAGCAGUGGGGAAUAUUGGGCAAUGGGCGCAAGCCUGACCCAGCAACGCCGCGUGAAGGAAGAAGGCUUUCGGGUUGUAAACUUCUUUUCUGAGGGACGACGAAAGUGACGGUACCUCAGGAAUAAGCCACGGCUAACUACGUGCCAGCCGCCGCGGUAAUACGUAGGUGGCAAGCGUUAUCCGUAUUUAUUGGGUGUAAAGGGCGUGUAGGCGGGAAAGCAACGCAGAUGUGAAAACUCAGGGCUCAACCCUGAGACUGCAUUUGAAACUGUUGUUCUUGAGUGCUGGAGAGGGAAACGGAAUACCGGGGGGAGCGGUGAAAUGCGUAGAUAUACGGAGGAACACCAGUGGCGAAGGCGGAUUGCUGGACAGUAACUGACGCUGAGGCGCGAAAGCGUGGGGAGCAAACAGGAUUAGAUACCCCUGUAGUC